CCUACGGGAGGCAGCAGUGAGGAAUAUUGGUCAAUGGGCGUAAGUCUGAACCAGCCAAGUCGCGUGCGGGAUGAAGGUUCUAUGGAUCGUAAACCUCUUUUAUAAGGGAAUAAAGUGUGGGACGUGUCCUAUUUUGUAUGUACCUUAUGAAUAAGGAUCGGCUAACUCCGUGCCAGCAGCCGCGGUAAUACGGAGGAUCCGAGCGUUAUCCGGAUUUAUUGGGUUUAAAGGGUGCGUAGGCGGCCUUUUAAGUCAGCGGUGAAAGGCUGGGGCUCAACCAUGGAAUUGCCGUUGACACUGGGGGGCUAGAGGAUGGUUGAGGCAGGCGGAAUGCGUGGUGUAGCGGUGAAAUGCUUAGAGAUCACGCAGAACCCCGAUUGCGAAGGCAGCCUGCCAAGCCAUGACUGACGCUGAUGCACGAAAGCGUGGGGAGCAAACAGGAUUAGAUACCCCAGUAGUC
RNAcentral lists this ribosomal RNA (460 nucleotides) under uncultured bacterium. RNAcentral's name for it is "partial 16S ribosomal RNA". It matches the Rfam family "Bacterial small subunit ribosomal RNA", at positions 338 to 795 of the family's 1533-position model. The record is from RNAcentral.